RNAcentral lists this ribosomal RNA (1248 nucleotides) under Planococcus sp. Eg-Natrun. RNAcentral's name for it is "partial 16S ribosomal RNA". It matches the Rfam family "Bacterial small subunit ribosomal RNA". The record is from RNAcentral. Lineage: Bacteria; Bacillati; Bacillota; Bacilli; Caryophanales; Caryophanaceae.
ACACUGGCGGCGUGCCUAUCUUCCUCCUCUAGCGGAANAUUGCGAGCUUGCUCCUUUGUNUUACGGCUGACGGGUGAGUACACGUGGGCAACCUGCCCUGCAGAUCGGGAUAACUCCGGGAAACCGGUGCUAAUACCGAAUAGUUUGCGGCCUCUCAUGAGGCUGCACGGAAAGACGGUUUCGGCUGUCACUGCAUGAUGGGCCCGCGGCGCAUUAGCUAGUUGGUGAGGUAACGGCUCACCAAGGUCACGAUGCGUAGCCGACCUGAGAGGGUGAUCGGCCACACUGGGACUGAGACACGGCCCAGACUCCUACGGUAGGCAGCAGUAGGGAAUCUUCCGCAAUGUACGAAAGUCUGACGGAGCAACGCCGCGUGAGUGAAGAAGGUUUUCGGAUCGUAAACUCUGUUGUGAGGGAAGAACAAGUACCAACUAACUACUGGUACCUUUGACCGGCACCUCACCAGAAAGCCCCGGCUAACUACGUGGCCAACCAGCCGCGGUAAUACGUAGGUUGCNAAGCGUUUUCCAGGAAUUAUUGGGGGUUAAACGCGGGGAGGGGGGCCUUUAAAUCUGAUGGAAAACCCNCGGNUCANCCUUGACGGGCAUUGGAAACUUGGGGAUUUGAUGCAAAAAAGAAGGGGAAUCCCCUGACGGGAAAUGCUUAAAUGGGGAAACCCGGGGAAAAGGAUUUUGCCUUAUUUCCUUAGGCAACCGGGGAAACGUUNACCGGUCCCCCUAAAUAGCAAGGGGGGUCCCUUGGCAACCUAACCCCGGGGGCGGUAAAAAAGGGCCCGGAUUUUACCACCAGGCUUUUCCCCUUUNCGGGGGAAAAAGGCGGGUGAACCAGGGUGGGUGCAAUGGUUGUCGUCAGCUCGUGUCGUGAGAUGUUGGGUUAAGUCCCGCAACGAGCGCAACCCUUGAUCUUAGUUGCCAGCAUUCAGUUGGGCACUCUAAGGUGACUGCCGGUGACAAACCGGAGGAAGGUGGGGAUGACGUCAAAUCAUCAUGCCCCUUAUGACCUGGGCUACACACGUGCUACAAUGGACGGUACAAAGGGCUGCAAACCCGCGAGGGGGAGCCAAUCCCAGAAAACCGUUCUCAGUUCGGAUUGCAGGCUGCAACUCGCCUGCAUGAAGCCGGAAUCGCUAGUAAUCGCGGAUCAGCAUGCCGCGGUGAAUACGUUCCCGGGCCUUGUACACACCGCCCGUCACACCACGAGAGUUUGUAACACCCGAAGUCGGUGGGG